RNAcentral lists this ribosomal RNA (909 nucleotides) under Triticum aestivum (bread wheat). RNAcentral's name for it is "partial small subunit ribosomal RNA". The record is from RNAcentral. Lineage: Eukaryota; Viridiplantae; Streptophyta; Magnoliopsida; Poales; Poaceae.
AUGGCUAAGUUUUUUUGGAGCAGCUCCAUCGACAAAAAUGCUUUACAUUGGGUGUCAUGGAAGAAUUUGGCUACACCAAAGUGCCAAGGAGGUAUGGGGUUUCGCGACCUACAACAGUUUAACAUUGCGCUACUAGGGAAGCAUGGGUGGCGGUUCAUGACGAACCCUGACUCUUUGUGCGCAAGGGUAAUGAAAGGCCGCUAUUUUCCUGAUACAGAUUUUUUGCAUGCCAAUGUUUCCAAAUCAGCAUCUGCUACUUGGCGAGCUAUCAUUACUGGCAGGAAAGCUUUACAGGCGGGACUUGUUAAGAGAGUUGGAGAUGGGAGCUCUAUUGAUGUCUGGAUGGACAAGUGGAUUCCGGGAACCAUCUCCGUGAAACCUUUAUUCAGACCUCCGAGCACUAAUAUUCAGAGAGUCUCGGAUCUUAUUGACACCGAGAACUGGUCUUGGAAACAGGACCUUAUAAGGACAACUUUUAUCGCUCCAGAUGCAGAUGCUAUUCUUAACAUACCCAUCAGGAGGGGAGGAGGACAAGAUUUCUUUGCUUGGGCCUUUGAACGAUCAGGCAACUACACUAUUAAGUCAGCGUACUGUGCUCUAAUGACUCAUAACGAGCGUCUAGCUCUAGAAGAAGGGACGGCUACAGGUGCCUCAACGGAUGAUAAACAGAUGUGGACAGCCUUAUGGAAACUCAAAGUGAUCCCAAAGGUUCAGGUGUUUUGGUGGAGGGUGUUGAGGGGGAUUCUACCUGAUGAAUGUACCCUCAAGCACCGCCACAUUUCAGUUCUUGACACUUGUAAAGUGUGCAUGGCAAGACAGGAGGAUCUCAUGCAUGCGUUAAUACAAUGCUCCCAUGCACGACGUUUCUGGAGCGAAGCUUGUGCUUGGUUUGAUCUGAGACUCCCUUGA